UACGGGGGGGGCAAGCGUUGUUCGGAAUUACUGGGCGUAAAGGGCUCGUAGGCGGCCAACUAAGUCGGACGUGAAAUCCCUCGGCUUAACCGGGGAACUGCGUCCGAUACUGGAUGGCUUGAGUUCGGGAGAGGGAUGCGGAAUUCCAGGUGUAGCGGUGAAAUGCGUAGAUAUCAGGAGGAAUACCGGUGGUGUAGACGGCUCUCUGGACCGCGACUGACGCUGAGACACGAAAGCGUGGGUAGCAAACAGG
Molecule: ribosomal RNA, 253 nt
Filed under: uncultured bacterium
Lineage: Bacteria
Description: partial 16S ribosomal RNA
Rfam family: Bacterial small subunit ribosomal RNA
Source: RNAcentral